UCAACCACGACAUCACUAGGUUAUUUUCUGUUUCCUAGAUCUUGAAUUUGGGAUCUUCCUUUGUUGGUUGAAUAGAUGCACCGGUGAGGUAGUCAUCUUUUCCUUGUCCACAUAUGAAUAUCAUCACCGACUGGGACCAUUGAAGGAAAUUAUGCCCAUUCAAUUUGUGUCCAGUGAUUGGGAAAAGAGAGCCUUUUGAUCCUCCAUUAUGGCUUGCAAUUGCAGCUUCUGGAUUGAAGGUGAUCUCGGUAGAAUUAGAAUGUUGUCUCUCAGUUGCCAUGCCGUAUUUGGUCAUGAGUGGAAUUCAGAUAUUCAGAGUAGUGGCUCUGAUACCAUGUGAAAUGCUAAGAGAGAAUUUUUGUUAUUCUUAUUCACUGAAUGAAGUAAAACAUACUGUUAAAUACAUACAGGCAGCCAAUUAAGACUCCCAUUAAUUUUGGUACAUACCAAAUUAUUCAUCUACUAAGCGAGGAAAAACUAAUUAGAGAGAAAUUAG
This 496-nucleotide long non-coding RNA is filed under the name Olea europaea subsp. europaea. Lineage: Eukaryota; Viridiplantae; Streptophyta; Magnoliopsida; Lamiales; Oleaceae. The record is from RNAcentral.